GGACCCGCACAAGCGGUGGAGCAUGUGGUUUAAUUCGAAGCAACGCGAAGAACCUUACCAAAUCUUGACAUCCUUUGACAACUCUAGAGAUAGAGCUUUCCCCUUCGGGGGGACAAAGUGACAGGUGGUGCAUGGUUGUCGUCAGCUCGUGUCGUGAGAUGUUGGGUUAAGUCCCGCAACGAGCGCAACCCUUAUUGUUAGUUGCCAUUAUUUAGUUGGGCACUCUAGCGAGACUGCCGGUGACAAACCGGAGGAAGGUGGGG
Molecule: ribosomal RNA, 263 nt
Filed under: uncultured prokaryote
Description: partial 16S ribosomal RNA
Rfam family: Bacterial small subunit ribosomal RNA
Source: RNAcentral